Humulus lupulus (European hop) is the source of this 816-nucleotide long non-coding RNA. RefSeq lists it as uncharacterized. The transcript has 5 exons. The record is from RefSeq and is a predicted model, not a curated record. NCBI's taxonomy places the organism in Eukaryota, Viridiplantae, Streptophyta, Magnoliopsida, Rosales, Cannabaceae.
CCUAGUUUCUCAUUGAUGAAAAAAUAAUUAACACUUUCCUUGUCGAUCUCUCUGGGAAAUAUAAAAAACGCUCGAUCUCUUUUGAUAACAAAUAAGUGAUCAAUAAAGAAGAAAGAGGCACUGAUGAUGAGUCUGCCGAACUACUACUACUACUUGUUUGUUAAUGUUAUUAUGAUUGGAUCAUCAUUAACGACAAUAAUGUCCACACUAGCUUCAUCCAUUGCAAAACAAGAUUAUUGCCAAGCCAAGUGUGGAGAUGUAGAUAUUCCAUACCCUUUCGGAAUUGGACCAUCCGAAUGUUUUCUUGACGAACGAUUCGAAAUCUCCUGCGACAACAGCUCUUCCACGCCUGUUCUCAAACACACUCAGCUACAGGUUACCUCCUUGUGGAUUGACUGCCCGAUCAUACUACAACUACCGCUUAGUGUAGUCACAUUUUGGGCGUUAAACAGAUACACUUGGGUUGGGAAAGAAAAAGCUUUACUAUUCUUAAGCUUUACCAAACACUUGGGAAGUAAGGAUUAGAGUAUUUCAGUAUUGAAGUUAGGCCAUCUAUAAGGCCAACAAAGGAGUAUUCCAAGCCCCGCAUUUGUUCUCGCGUCCCGGUUUUGUGUGAUGCAGGAAAAUGAAUAUGGAAGGCGGAAGGAUUCUUGGUAGCUUGGCUUAUGUGUUGAGGGUGGAUGGAAUGUGUGGACUGCGUGUCGAUUGAGGAUGAAGUUAUUUAUUUUUAGUCUUUUAAAUCAUGUUUUUCCGCAUUUAGUUUUGUAAAAAAUUUUCUUUAGUAUAAAAUUAUGUUUUAUGUUUUAAACAAUGGGU